AAUGAGACCCAAAACAGACGUUUUGAGCUCACGAAGAAUUAAUUUUUUUCUUCAAAAACUACCAAUUUGAUUUUUUUUAUUUAUGGAUUUAUUUAAUUGAAGAGUUUGUCUAGUGACGUGCGGGAACCGAAACACGAUUGAAAAAAUUUGCCUCGAUAGAAAAACGUUGUGAAGUUUCCUAAAAAUUAAACGGUCAAUCAAUUUCAUUUGGACAAUGGUAAAGUAAUAUCAAUGAAACUUUAUCCACAUCCAUUUCCAUUCAAUUCUUGAGAGACGUGCGGGAUUAGAUUUUACAUUUAAUACAUCAGUAAUUUAAAAAAAAUAUAUUUAUAAAUUAUGAGCACAAAAUUGCGCGUAGGCCGGUCGCUUCCGCCGUUCCGCCUCCUGUUAGUCGACGCUAACGCGUCUUAGAGAGCAGUCCUGUACAACUUUUUCGCGCGGUGCCGUUGUCUACUCGCAUACGUGAUUUAGUGUUAGUGAUACUAAAGUUUUUCAUAAACAUGGUGAAUUUUGGUGGCCAAAACAUUGAUGGUGAGAACAUUAGGAAGAAAAUGUUGCGAAAGCAGAUAAAAAAACUACAGUUAUUGAACCCAAAUAGCGAAGCGCGACCACGAAAAAUCCGAUGAGCAGCCUGCAAGCCAGGACGCAAUAAAAGACAAACCAUGAUUACCAGAAACUGAUGUGGAUCUUCAGACAGUUUCAUAUAGUACUUUUUUGUCACAAUGUACAAGGACAGCU
This is a long non-coding RNA of Colias croceus (clouded yellow), 738 nucleotides long. RefSeq lists it as uncharacterized. NCBI's taxonomy places the organism in Eukaryota, Metazoa, Arthropoda, Insecta, Lepidoptera, Pieridae. The transcript has 3 exons. The record is from RefSeq and is a predicted model, not a curated record.